Molecule: ribosomal RNA, 614 nt
Filed under: uncultured fungus
Lineage: Eukaryota; Fungi
Description: LSU rRNA
Rfam family: Eukaryotic large subunit ribosomal RNA
Source: RNAcentral
ACCCGCUGAACUUAAGCAUAUCAAUAAGCGGAGGAAAAGAAACCAACAGGGAUUGCCCUAGUAACGGCGAGUGAAGCGGCAACAGCUCAAAUUUGAAAUCUGGCUCUCGGGCCCGAGUUGUAAUUUGUAGAGGAUGUUUCUGGCAAGGUGCCUUCCGAGUUCCCUGGAACGGGACGCCAUAGAGGGUGAGAGCCCCGUACGGUUGGUUGCCGCGCCUCUGUGAAACUCCUUCGACGAGUCGAGUAGUUUGGGAAUGCUGCUCUAAAUGGGAGGUAUACGUCUUCUAAAGCUAAAUACCGGCCAGAGACCGAUAGCGCACAAGUAGAGUGAUCGAAAGAUGAAAAGCACUUUGAAAAGAGGGUUAAAUAGUACGUGAAAUUGUUGAAAGGGAAGCACUUAUGACCAGACUUGGGCCGGUUGAUCAUCCGUCGUUCUCGGCGGUGCACUCUGCCGGCUCAGGCCAGCAUCAGUUUGGUCUGGGGGAUAAAGGUUUCGGGAAUGUGGCUCCUCCGGGAGUGUUAUAGCCCGUUGCGUAAUACCCUGGAUCAGACUGAGGUUCGCGCUCUGCAAGGAUGCUGGCGUAAUGGUCAUCAGUGACCCGUCUUGAAACACGG